CCGCAAUCCGCUAUAGCGGGGGUGAAUUCCGCCCCGAGGACUCGCGCUGUGUCGUCUGCCACGCGUAAGAGGUGUUGAAGGAUCGGUCUCGCGCAACCUAAGCUCGUGAACCAUGUCAGGCGGGGAACCGAGCAGCAUUAAGCGAUGUCUUAGGUGUGCCGCGAGCGCUCCGAUUUGGAGCCAAACUGCGCGCGUAACGGGUGUAGUGCGUUUUCGGAGGGCGGUGCGCGG
RNAcentral lists this signal recognition particle RNA (231 nucleotides) under Oscillospiraceae bacterium. Its description in RNAcentral is "partial signal recognition particle sRNA large type". It matches the Rfam family "Bacterial large signal recognition particle RNA", at positions 35 to 256 of the family's 256-position model. Rfam says of the family: The signal recognition particle (SRP) is a universally conserved ribonucleoprotein involved in the co-translational targeting of proteins to membranes. Archaeal SRP consists of a 7S RNA and homologues of the eukaryotic SRP19 and SRP54 proteins. The record is from RNAcentral. Lineage: Bacteria; Bacillati; Bacillota; Clostridia; Eubacteriales; Oscillospiraceae.